GACGAACGCUGGCGGCGUGCCUAACACAUGCAAGUCGAACGGACUGCGAGGAGCUUGCUCCUCAAAGUUAGUGGCGGACGGGUGAGUAACGCGUGAGUAACCUGCCUUACAGAGGGGGAUAACGUUUGGAAACGAACGCUAAUACCGCAUAAUGUAUUUAGGGGGCAUCCCUUGAAUACCAAAGCUUUAUGUGCUGAAAGAUGGCCUCGCGUCUGAUUAGGUAGUUGGUGGGGUAACGGCCUACCAAGCCGACGAUCGGUAGCCGGACUGAGAGGUUGAACGGCCACAUUGGGACUGAGACACGGCCCAGACUCCUACGGGAGGCAGCAGUGGGAAUAUUGCACAAUGGGGGAAACCCUGAUGCAGCAACGCCGCGUGAGGGAAGACGGUUUUCGGAUUGUAAACCUCUGUCCUCUGUGAAGAAGAAAGUGACGGUAGCAGAGGAGGAAGCCACGGCUAACUACGUG
RNAcentral lists this ribosomal RNA (467 nucleotides) under uncultured bacterium. Its description in RNAcentral is "bacterial SSU rRNA". It matches the Rfam family "Bacterial small subunit ribosomal RNA", at positions 28 to 507 of the family's 1533-position model. The record is from RNAcentral.